RNAcentral lists this ribosomal RNA (519 nucleotides) under Penicillium sp. P2(2013). Its description in RNAcentral is "partial 18S ribosomal RNA". The stretch from base 197 to 349 matches the Rfam family "5.8S ribosomal RNA". Lineage: Eukaryota; Fungi; Ascomycota; Eurotiomycetes; Eurotiales; Aspergillaceae. The record is from RNAcentral.
AACCUGCGGAAGGAUCAUUACCGAGUGAGGGCCCUUUGGGUCCAACCUCCCACCCGUGUUUAUUUUACCUUGUUGCUUCGGCGGGCCCGCCUUUACUGGCCGCCGGGGGGCUCACGCCCCCGGGCCCGCGCCCGCCGAAGACACCCCCGAACUCUGUCUGAAGAUUGAAGUGUGAGUGAAAAUAUAAAUUAUUUAAAACUUUCAACAACGGAUCUCUUGGUUCCGGCAUCGAUGAAGAACGCAGCGAAAUGCGAUACGUAAUGUGAAUUGCAAAUUCAGUGAAUCAUCGAGUCUUUGAACGCACAUUGCGCCCCCUGGUAUUCCGGGGGGCAUGCCUGUCCGAGCGUCAUUGCUGCCCUCAAGCCCGGCUUGUGUGUUGGGCCCCGUCCUCCGAUUCCGGGGGACGGGCCCGAAAGGCAGCGGCGGCACCGCGUCCGGUCCUCGAGCGUAUGGGGCUUUGUCACCCGCUCUGUAGGCCCGGCCGGCGCUUGCCGAUCAACCCAAAUUUUAUCCAGGUGA